GUGGGGAAUAUUGGGCAAUGGGCGAAAGCCUGACCCAGCAACGCCGCGUGAGGGAAGAAGGUUUUCGGAUUGUAAACCUCUGUCCUUGGUGACGAACACAAUGACGGUAGCCAAGGAGGAAGCCCCGGCUAACUACGUGCCAGCAGCCGCGGUAAUACGUAGGGGGCAAGCGUUGUCCGGAAUGACUGGGCGGAAAGGGCGUGUAGGCGGCCGAUUAAGUCUGGAGUGAAAGUCCUGCUUUCAAGGUGGGAAUUGCUUUGGAGACUGGUUGGCUUGAGUGCGGAAGAGGCAAGUGGAAUUCCCAGUGUAGCGGUGAAAUGCGUAGAGAUUGGGAGGAACACCAGUGGCGAAGGCGACUUGCUGGGCCGUAACUGACGCUGAGGCGCGAAAGCGUGGGGAGCGAACAGGAUUAGAAACCCCGGUAGUCC
This 428-nucleotide ribosomal RNA is filed under the name uncultured bacterium. RNAcentral's name for it is "partial 16S ribosomal RNA". It matches the Rfam family "Bacterial small subunit ribosomal RNA", at positions 354 to 796 of the family's 1533-position model. The record is from RNAcentral.